UGUGUGAGUGGUGUUCAUUUCUAGCCCUUCUAAUAGGUGUAAAACUUUCUCUUCAAAUACUAAAUUAUAGGCACUUGGACAGGGUUGCUGAACAUUUUGAUAUUGGUACAUUGUAUAAGUUUCUCCUGGAUAGCUAGAUUUAUAAUCAACUGUUGGUUGUGAUGCCUAGGAAAAAAUUAGAUGGUUUCCCUAACCCAGAUUGUAGGUGUUAGCAAAAAGAUUGGGACGAGCAGUUUAGAUUUGGGUUUGGUAAGUUUGCUCAUGUGCAAACUCUUAGGAUCGAUAUGCGGCUAGAUUUUUACUAACC
This 307-nucleotide long non-coding RNA is filed under the name Elaeis guineensis (African oil palm). Its description in RNAcentral is "long non-coding RNA (EGUI_LNC038258)". Lineage: Eukaryota; Viridiplantae; Streptophyta; Magnoliopsida; Arecales; Arecaceae. The record is from RNAcentral.